Molecule: ribosomal RNA, 445 nt
Filed under: uncultured bacterium
Lineage: Bacteria
Description: partial 16S ribosomal RNA
Rfam family: Bacterial small subunit ribosomal RNA
Source: RNAcentral
GUGAGGAAUAUUGGACAAUGGGCGCAAGCCUGAUCCAGCCAUGCCGCGUGCAGGAAGACGCAUCUAUGGUGUGUAAACUGCUUUUGUACGGGAAGAAACACUCCCUCGUGAGGGAGCUUGACGGUACCGUAAGAAUAAGGAUCGGCUAACUCCGUGCCAGCAGCCGCGGUAAUACGGAGGAUCCAAGCGUUAUCCGGAAUCAUUGGGUUUAAAGGGUCCGUAGGCGGUUUAAUAAGUCAGUGGUGAAAGCCCAUCGCUCAACGAUGGAGCGGCCAUUGAUACUGUUAGACUUGAAUUACAAGGAAGUAACUAGAAUAUGUAGUGUAGCGGUGAAAUGCUUAGAUAUUACAUGGAAUACCAAUUGCGAAGGCAGGUUACUACUUGUGGAUUGACGCUGAUGGACGAAAGCGUGGGGAGCGAACAGGAUUAGAUACCCGGGUAGUCC